Sinocyclocheilus grahami is the source of this 709-nucleotide long non-coding RNA. RefSeq lists it as uncharacterized. The record is from RefSeq and is a predicted model, not a curated record. Lineage: Eukaryota; Metazoa; Chordata; Actinopteri; Cypriniformes; Cyprinidae. The transcript has 3 exons.
CCUGUGGGUUAGACCAUUGCAAGUCAAAUGAAUUGUUGUCAUAUGUUUGUUCUCAGAGUGCAAGGCAAGUCUCUGCGUCUCUCCAUGUCCACAUCACCACAAUACGAUCACAUCAGAGGAGAGUCAGCUUUUGAAAACCCCAUCUACGAGACUCCAAACAAUGAGGAUACGAGAGAGUACGAAGUCUCCAUUUAAGCUUGUUUUAGCAUGGAGGACCGCAAGCCUUUCUCUGCCUUGUGGAAGAUCUCUCAGUUCCUCUCACAUCUUGUGUAGCCAACUCUGCUCUUAAUCUUACCUACCUUCUCAUCUUUUCCCAUCUGCUGUAAAAAUCACCUUGCUUCUGAGGACUUCCGCAAGCGAAGAGUGUGGACAACAUGAUAUUAUUUUUGUAGAGCUUCAAUAGCCAUGGCCUAGCAGAAUUGCUUGUACAGUUUUUACCCGUAAUUGAGCCAAAUUAAGGAAUUAAAAAAAAAAGACUGAUAAUAAGGGAGUAUGUGUUAUUUAGGAGAUUGAUGUCUCGCUAAACAGAUUUUUUUCUUUUAUUUGUUUUUAAGUGUCGCACUUUUGCACUCACAACCCCUCCUGCCCCCUCUCCAAAAAAAUAACAUGUAAAGUUACAUUGUAAGAUUUAAGUAAAUCAUAAGCACAGGAAAUAGUUGCACUUGUGAAAUAUAAACAAAAAUGAUAUAAAUUCACAUAUAAUGUAAUU